UACGGAAGGCAGCAGUGGGGGAAUAUUGCACAAUGGGCGCAAGCCUGAUGCAGCCAUGCCGCGUGUAUGAAAAAGGCCUUCGGGUUGUAAAGUACUUUCAGUCGUGAGGAAAGGUGUUAAGGUUAAUAACCUUAGCAAUUGACGUUAGCGACAGAAGAAGCACCGGCUAACUCCGUGCCAGCAGCCGCGGUAAUACGGAGGGUGCGAGCGUUAAUCGGAAUUACUGGGCGUAAAGGGCACGCAGGCGGUUAAUUAAGUUGGAUGUGAAAUCCCCGGGCUUAACCUGGGAAUGGCAUUCAAGACUGGUUAGCUAGAGUCUUGUAGAGGGGGUAGAAUUCCAUGUGUAGCGGUGAAAUGCGUAGAGAUGUGGAGGGAAUAACCGGUGGCGAAGGCGGGCCCCUGGACAAAGACUGACGGCUCAUGUGCGAAAGCGUGGGGAGCAAAACAGGGAUUAGAUACC
Molecule: ribosomal RNA, 460 nt
Filed under: uncultured bacterium
Lineage: Bacteria
Description: bacterial SSU rRNA
Rfam family: Bacterial small subunit ribosomal RNA
Source: RNAcentral